CGGGGUGUAGUUUAACGGUAGAAUGCGCGGCUGGGGGCCGUGCGACGACAGUUCAACUCUGUCUACCCCGACAA
RNAcentral lists this transfer RNA (74 nucleotides) under Candidatus Shapirobacteria bacterium CG08_land_8_20_14_0_20_39_18. Its description in RNAcentral is "tRNA-Pro". It matches the Rfam family "tRNA". Rfam says of the family: Transfer RNA (tRNA) molecules are approximately 80 nucleotides in length. Their secondary structure includes four short double-helical elements and three loops (D, anti-codon, and T loops). Lineage: Bacteria; Candidatus Shapironibacteriota. The record is from RNAcentral. RNAcentral also lists the same sequence under 1 other name.